GGCCAGGUAGCUCAGUUGGUACGAGCGUCCGCCUGAAAAGCGGAAGGUCGCCGGUUCGACCCCGGCCCUGGCCA
Molecule: non-coding RNA, 74 nt
Organism: Prauserella sp. Am3
Lineage: Bacteria; Bacillati; Actinomycetota; Actinomycetes; Pseudonocardiales; Pseudonocardiaceae
Source: Rfam